UGUUAGUAGGAUGCGACGUGGAACUUCGUACAAUUUAACAGAGCAGUCUAAGUACCAGUUUCCUAUGUUAUAUCGUCAAUGGGUAAUCUUACAGUUAUGCUGAACAGAAAUAGUUCAAUUUAAUUACAAUCCAAUAGUGAGACAGUUUAUAAUUUGUAUAGUGUGUUUGUUCAUUUUGGGAAUUUUGUUAUUCUGCGAGUUUAAAAAUGAAUUUAAUCCCAUUUCUAAAAAGAAACUUUCCAGUAUAUAUAGGUUUUGUGAUCAUCUGUUUGUUCAUUCAAAGGAUACAUGGUCAGUGUUCACCAAACCAGUUUACAUGUGCCAAUCACAGGUGCAUUCCAAUGACCUGGCAUUGUGAUGAAGAUGAUGACUGUGGAGACAAUUCUGAUGAAAUAAACUGUUAUGUAAGAACCUGUUCAUCAACAGAAAUGAAAUGUGACAACCAAAAAUGUGUUCCUAUCAAAUGGCAAUGUGACAAAGAAAAUGACUGUGGAGACAUGUCUGAUGAAAAUCAAGAUCUUUGUAGCAAUAAAACAUGUGGACCUGAUCAAUUCUCUUGUGAAAUGACUGAGGGAGUUUGUAUACCUGAAACCUGGAGAUGUGAUGGCCAGAAGGACUGCCAAGAUGGUUCUGAUGAAAAAAAAGAUUGUUACCAGAUGACUUGUACAUCACAAGAAUUUACUUGCCAAAAUAAGAAGUGUAUUACUCAACGGUGGAUCUGUGACCAAGAUGAUGACUGUGGAGAUGGCAGCGAUGAACUGAACUGUUCAAAUGUAACCUGCUCUUCAACAGAGUUUAUGUGUGAUAGUAUGAAGUGUAUACCAAAUAAAUGGCACUGUGAUGGUGAGGAAGAUUGUGCAAAUAAUUCUGAUGAGAAGAACUGCUCUUCUGAAGGCUUUCAAUCACCUUGUAACUCUAGACAAUUCAUGUGUGCUAACCAAAAGGAUUGUAUCCUUAUUUCCUGGCACUGUGAUGGUGGUAUUGACUGUCCUGAUAAAUCAGAUGAGACAAAUUGCACCAUCACUUGUCAGCCUGACCAGUUCCAGUGCAAAAAUUAUCAGUGUAUUCCCGGACAUCUUCGAUGUAAUGGGAAAAAGGAAUGUUUUGAUGAAUCUGAUGAGGAAAACUGUCCAGAAACUCAAAAGAUGUGUGACCCAGAGAUUGAAUUUGAUUGUGGCCAGAAUCGCUGUAUUCCCAUAUAUUUGAUCUGUAAUAAAAAAAAUGAUUGUGGAAACUGGGAAGAUGAACCUAUUCACUUGUGCAAUAAGAAUGAAUGUGAAGAGAAUAAUGGAGGAUGUUCUCAGAACUGUGUUAACAUGGUUGCUGGUUUUCAGUGUUCCUGUUUUGAAGGCUAUGAACUUGUAGACAAUAAAACAUGCAAAGAUAUCAAUGAAUGUGAGAUCUUGGGUUUCUGUUCACAAGGAUGUGUCAAUACCAAAGGCAGUUAUAAAUGUGAUUGUAUGAAAGGUUAUUCAUUGGAACCAAAUAAUCAUCACCGCUGUCGAGCCUCAGAAGGACAAGCUGAAUUGCUUUUUAGCAAUAGAAAGGAUAUUCGGAAGAUUGAUAUAGAAAGCUUUGAGUAUAAGUCUGUUGUUAGUGAUCUUCAAAAUGCCAUUGCAAUUGACUUUAUAUUUCACACUAGGACCCUGUUAUGGUCAGAUGUUGCAGAGGGAUGCAUUAAAAGUGCCCCUAUUGAUACAGGUAGACCAGUAACAACAAUUGUAAAGGAGAGUGUUACUACUCCAGAUGGAAUAGCAGUAGACUGGAUUUACAAACACAUUUACUGGACAGAUACAGGAAAGAAUACUAUUGAAGUAACAGAUAUGCAGGGAACCUUGAGGAAAACUCUUAUUUGUGAGGGUCUUGAUGAACCUAGAGCUAUUGUAGUGAAUCCCUUAGAUGGAUGGAUGUUUUGGACUGACUGGGGUACUUCAGCCAAAAUUGAAAGGGCUGGGUUAGAUGGAUCUCAUCGAAAAGGCAUCGUCACUUCUGAUAUACAGUGGCCCAAUGGAUUGGCUAUAGAUUUUCUGUCUAAGAAAAUUUAUUGGGUUGAUGCCAAACUUCAUACACUAGGGAGUGUAGACUACAAUGGUGAUAACCAGCAGAUUGUGUUGUCUUCACCAGUUGUCCUUAGAUAUCCCUUUUCUGUGGAUAUAUUUGAAGACUGGGUAUAUUGGACAGACUGGGAAUCUAAAGCUAUUCACAAGGUUAACAAAUUUACUGGUAAAGAAAAGAGUGAUAUAACUGUUGGUGUUACCCAUCCCAUGGAUCUUCAUGUUUAUCACAAAUAUAAACAACCCAUUGGUGAGAAUCACUGUGGAGUUCAAAAUGGAUAUUGUUCCCAUCUUUGCUUACCAUCACCUAAUCUGACCUCAAUUUCUGCAAAGUUCAGAUGUGUGUGUCCUGAUAACAUGGAGCUUCAGAGUGACCAAAGAACUUGUAUUAUCAAAAAUCCAUCUACUAGAAGCAGUACUAGCACAAAUAGUGUAACCACCUCACAAUCAAGAAACUCUUCUUCUUCUACAAAUAAAGUUUCAACUUCAGGAUCAGUUGUACCUGCUAGCCUAUCAGAACUGACAACAAAACCACAAUUAGUAACCUUAGACCCGUUUCUAGCAGUCACUGGUAAUAGUAGUAGCAAGCACCUGUAUGAAGUCACAUCCUCAGAAGUUGACACUGGUAGAAUAGCUGGCAUUAUUAUUGGGGUUUUAGGAGGGCUAGUGGUCCUCAUUACUCUGAUUAUUAUCCUAGUCUACAAGCAGUAUGUCCACAGAAAUAUACGAAGUAUGAAUUUUAUCAAUCCAGUGUAUGGGAAAACAACAGAAGAUCUACUAAGUUUAGAAAACAAUCAGUAUCAGUCUUCAAGAUCAUACAUUUCAAGUCUGGAGUCACUAACUUCACCAGGUACCAAUGAGUUUGUAUAACUCUUGCUCUGGCUAUUUUGAGCACUGCAGGCAGUUUGAUUAAAGGGAAUCAGUGCUAUUAAUAUGUUUGGAAUAGCUUUGAAUUUAUUUAAAACAAUAAAAUAUGUAUUUUUUGUUGGAUGUUAUUGAACUUGUGAAUCACACAAUUAAGGGAACAAUAAAAUGUGCAUUAUUUGGGGGAUUAAGUCACAAGAUGGUGAGAACAAUUUAAGGAAGCCUAUAUGACUUAACACAUUGUUACAUGUGACUGAAAGUCAAAUGUUAUGUUCUUUCAGAAAAGUUCCAAACUCUAUAGCACUUGAAAACAAAUUAAGUUAUUACAGCAACAUUGUAGAAGAUAAAACCUGGUUAUUUUGACAGGAAGAAACCAUUGAUGCAGUACAUUGUGGUUAGGUAACUGUCACACACAUAGAGGGAAAUAAGGGAGGUUCAGUCCUUAUUUUGAUGAAAAGUUGGUGUAUUUUGAAUGUGGUUUAUGCACAAAGUAAAUUCUAAAUGAUUGCCAUUUGUUUAUUUUCUUUUUACUAUGAGUGAAAUCUAAAUUGAUUGCACUAUUGGAGGAAAAAUUAUACUACCUUAAGGAUGAAUAUUCUGAGUUCCAUGACAUUUAGACAACUGAUGUUACUGUGUUGUAGUAUAGCUUCUACACCUUGAAGUAUGUGACAUUUUGUAUAGGUUACUGUUGUGUAGCUUAAAAUGGCAGUUUGUGCCAUUUCUUUUUCAGGUUUUUAUUUAUUUUUUUCAUUAAUCCAUAUGGUAUUUUAAAAGUAACAAAAUGUAGCUAAAGGAAUCACUAAUAUUUUUCCAAGAUUAUAGUUAGAAAAACUACAGUGAACAGAAUCUAGAAAGGGAAUUUGCACAAAUAGAUAUGAGCAUAGAAGGUUUAGAUUAAAGAUACAGUAAACUUGAGAGGUAUCUUUUCAUCAGGAUGCUUGAUUGAGAAACUAAUAGUAAAGGAAAUUGAUGUAAAUUUGCCCACAUAGCUGGCAGAUAAAAUUAUUUACAAAGGAGAGAUAUAUUUUUUACAAUGUGAAUAGCUAUGGUUAACUGUUUUAAAUAAAGAAGAUAAAUAUGAUAAAUCACCAGAUAUAAUAAUUUGAUUCCCAAUGUUUUUCCAUAUCAGUUUUAUCAAGUUUUAUCACCUAACAAAACCUAAAUUGAAAAAUUACAGUAAGUAAAAGAUCAUUUUAAAUAAUACAACAGUUCAAUGUUUUUGUCACAGUGUGAUAAAAUUAAUAAAGCUGAUACAGGAAAAUUUUGGAACAAAAUUGUUUUAUCAGUUGAUCUGUAAUGCUUAUUAACAUUUUAUAAUGUCUACCAUUUUGUAGCUUGCAUUGAAAGAUAAUCAUGUUGAAUAUUGUAUUAUUGUUAUUAUUACUGUUCGUAAAUAUUUUAUGGCUGGAUCAUUCAGAAUAACAAUGUUGGUGUGUCAACAACACUACUGAAUUUGAAACUAGUUACCAUAUAUAAAAAGCAAAAACAGUAAAUAAGGUUUUUAUUUUUGUUGGGUGUAUUUUUUUUACUUUAUCUUAUUUAUGUUGAUACAUCUAUAAAAUUUCAUUACUUGUAAGAAAAAUAAUAUAAAUUUAUUCGUAUUAAUUGUCCUUUUAUAGUUUUGUUUAUUAUAUUUGUUUGUUUUUAUUAGCAUGUUUUAGUUUAGUAUGUCCUGGUUUAGUAUUUCUCCAUGUGAAUAAUUAGUCUUAGUUUCAUUAUUAUUAUUUUAUUUAUGGUAUAUUUUUGUAAGCCAAGAAUGUUUAAACCGGGGUGGCUAGCCCAGUCGUAGGACGACCAUGUUCAGUGACAGGGAUUCAAACUCGCCACUGUGAGAUUGAGAGUCCAGUGCCGUAAAAAAUUCACAAUAAAAUACUUCAUAAUUUUGACGUUUACAUUUGUAAAGAAAUAUUAUCAGUCCAUCAAGCUUCCCCACAAUGUGUUAAAUGUUUGAUUUUAAUCUCUUUGCAUAAAAUUUAUAUAGUUAGAAACUAUAAAAGAUUUUACUACUGCUAGGAAAGUAACUGAAAUGGAAAAGAAACUCGUUAAUUUCUUUAUUACAUAAUUUCAUGUAAACUGGUGAAAUUUAACUUCUGACAAAUUUUUAACUAAGUAAAAUAUCCUUUAGAAAUUACAGUUCGAAAAUUAUAAAACAUGGGUAAAAGUAUCUCCUCAUUUUCUUUGUAUAUAAUUUUGCUACUGAGGUGUUUACAUGAAUUGUUUAAUGAUGUUUUUCACACCAAUCUGAAAUUUGAAGAAAGACGUAUAAGCUGAAUUUUUAAAUAUAUUUACAUUUAUAUAAUUUUUCAAGGUUGUGAACUAGAGUUGAUUACAUGAAUGACAAAUCUCUUAGAAAAAAUGGAAUGCUUAUUGCAUGAUUUCAUCUGACUUCAGUAUACUGUUGAAGAGUAAAAUAUUUCACGUUGCUUCACCUAGUUUUCUAAGUACCAUAGGAAAAAAAGGGAAAUUUGAAAUUUUGUUUUAGCAAUUUGUUUGGCUUAUAAUUAUGUAUAUAAAAGGGAUUUCCAGGGAGAAAGUUAAUGUAUGAUAUGAUUAGACUACAAUAUCAUUGGAAUUUAUAUACACGUUAUCAUAACAUUUGAGCAGAAAUUAUGUACGUUAUGUUUCAUUUGUCAAGGAGUGUGUGCUAAAGUUUAUUAUUAUGUACGUUAUGUUUCAUUCAUCAAGGAGUGUGUACUAAAAGUUAUUAUUAUGUACGUUAUGUUUCAUUCGUCAAGGAGUGUGUACUAAAGUUUAUUAUUAUGUACGUUAUGUUUCAU
RNAcentral lists this unclassified non-coding RNA (5695 nucleotides) under Limulus polyphemus (Atlantic horseshoe crab). RNAcentral describes it as "very low-density lipoprotein receptor-like, transcript variant X1". Lineage: Eukaryota; Metazoa; Arthropoda; Merostomata; Xiphosura; Limulidae. The record is from RNAcentral.